Nannospalax galili (Upper Galilee mountains blind mole rat) is the source of this 758-nucleotide long non-coding RNA. RefSeq lists it as uncharacterized. The transcript is spliced from 3 exons. NCBI's taxonomy places the organism in Eukaryota, Metazoa, Chordata, Mammalia, Rodentia, Spalacidae. The record is from RefSeq and is a predicted model, not a curated record.
UCCAGUUUCUUACUCCCCAACGUGGCACAGCUGUCAAGAUUCCUGCUGCAGCCUUUGGCCUCCCAGCAACUGUUUUCAAUAUUGUCUUGGAACAGCACCCUGUGUGUGUGUACCACUUGGGAAUCAGUCAAUUAACCUGAGAGAAACUUGAACUCCGAGUUUUGGGCCUCCUUUUCUGCAGUUCCUGACCCCUGAGGUUUCAACUUCAGAUCCCAGGGGGGAGGAGUUCCUUGGCACACGUGUGAUGGUCAGGAGACAACUUGUGGGAGUUGGUUCUUUUCUUCCAUGGGUCCCAGGGAUUGAACUCAGGUUGUCAAGCUUAGUGACAAGCACCUUUACCUGCUAAGCCAUCUUGCCAGCCGAAAAUCAAAAUUCUGAACUAGAACAAGGUUCUAUGUGCAUCACCUUCACAUCCACUGUUUUUGCACAUGAAUUUGAGGAAAAGGUUGGCUCGUGGGUUGUAAAGUGUUCCUCAUCCACAAGGCAUACUUUUCAGGAAGACCAUGGCACUCACAAGAGGGUGAGUUAAUUAAAUUGAAAUGGAUAAGUAAAUUCUUGAUACUUUACUUUUCAAACUUUUGUUUGUUCUAUGCAUUAAUCAGCUCUCCAGGCCUGUAGCCAAUACCUGAGACAGUCUACUUACAAAGAGGCUUGUUUUGGCUUACGGUUUUAGAGGUAUUCUAAAUUAAAGUCCAUCUGAAUUAAACAUUGGUUAGCCUCAUUGUUUGGGAGCCAGUGGCAAGGAAGAGGACAGUGGC